This 406-nucleotide ribosomal RNA is filed under the name uncultured Oscillospiraceae bacterium. RNAcentral describes it as "bacterial SSU rRNA". It matches the Rfam family "Bacterial small subunit ribosomal RNA", at positions 341 to 764 of the family's 1533-position model. Lineage: Bacteria; Bacillati; Bacillota; Clostridia; Eubacteriales; Oscillospiraceae. The record is from RNAcentral.
ACGGAAGGCAGCAGUGGGGAAUAUUGGGCAAUGGGCGAAAGCCUGACCCAGCGACGCCGCGUGAGCGAAGAAGGUCUUCGGAUUGUAAAGCUCUGUGUACAGGAACGAUAAUGACGGUACCUGUAUAGAAAGCCACGGCUAACUACGUGCCAGCAGCCGCGGUAAUACGUAGGUGGCAAGCGUUAUCCGGAUUUACUGGGUGUAAAGGGUGUGUAGGCGGGGGAGCAAGUCAGAUGUGAAAUCCAUGGGCUCAACUCAUGGACUGCGUCUGAAUCUGUUCUUCUUGAGUGUCGGAGGGGUAAUCGGAAUUCCUGGUGUAGCGGUGAAAUGCGUAGAUAUCAGGAGGAACACCGGUGGCGAAGGCGGAUUACUGGACGACAACUGACGCUGAGACACGAAAGCGUGG